GCACUUACAUAUCUCAUACAAAACACAACCACGCCUCUUCUCUCUCCCUCCCCCAACGAAACUCCAGUGUUGCGUAGUCUUGCCUGCCAGUGUGUGAAUCAGCAAAACCAGAAAGAAAACAUUACAGUAAGCCUUCCAAAAGAAAACAAAGUGGAGAUGGUCUGACUUAUCAUUAACGCCUGCAGCUAUGUGGUGAGGAAGAUCAGAGCUGCCCUCACCAGUGCUGACCAGCCAGUGAAGCCUUCCCAAGCAUCAUGUAGCCAGGCCAAAGAGCGAAAGGGAGUCAAGGAGCAGUAUAAACAAGUGCCAGUCAUGAGCAGCGAACCUCCUCGUGAGAGAGCUGUUCAGGAAUGCGGCUCCUGAGGUUAAAGGUCACACACUGUCCGUGGAGGAAGGAGGGACAAUGAUACCAGAAAAUGAGUUGCGUCAUCAAAGCUCAGCAAAUUCAUCCUGCCAAAAAAAAAAGUUUAAUAUAUCAUAGCUUUGUCAGUUUUAAGUAAUAUAAAUUUUAGAAAAUCUGCAUUUUAAUUACGGAAAUAUACCAGCCAGACCCCCUUUCCCCUCUCCUCAGCCAACACCUCCUUCUCUCCCUCUCUCAUGCUCAGUGUAAAACCUCUAAAUUAAAAAGCUCAUUAUCUCUACCCAGCAAGUGAAUGAAGACUUGGUCAUAAACUCUAUGUAUAUGGGAGGUGACCAGGUCUGAAGAAAUUGUUUUUGCUGUUUGUAUACCUUUCAAUAAAGUCUAUCACAGAAA
This is a long non-coding RNA of Acipenser ruthenus (sterlet), 754 nucleotides long. RefSeq lists it as uncharacterized. The transcript has 3 exons. Lineage: Eukaryota; Metazoa; Chordata; Actinopteri; Acipenseriformes; Acipenseridae. The record is from RefSeq and is a predicted model, not a curated record.